This 89-nucleotide transfer RNA is filed under the name Paenibacillus sp. 1182. Its description in RNAcentral is "tRNA-Tyr". It matches the Rfam family "tRNA". From Rfam's summary of the family: Transfer RNA (tRNA) molecules are approximately 80 nucleotides in length. Their secondary structure includes four short double-helical elements and three loops (D, anti-codon, and T loops). Further hydrogen bonds mediate the characteristic L-shaped molecular structure. tRNAs have two regions of fundamental functional importance: the anti-codon, which is responsible for specific mRNA codon recognition, and the 3' end, to which the tRNAs corresponding amino acid is attached (by aminoacyl-tRNA synthetases). tRNAs cope with the degeneracy of the genetic code in two manners: having more than one tRNA (with a specific anti-codon) for a particular amino acid; and 'wobble' base-pairing, i.e. permitting non-standard base-pairing at the 3rd anti-codon position. The record is from RNAcentral. Lineage: Bacteria; Bacillati; Bacillota; Bacilli; Caryophanales; Paenibacillaceae.
GGGAGUAUAGAACGUAAUGGGUAGCGUCCCUGGUUGUAACCCAGGCAUGCGAAAGCAUCUUGGAGGUUCAAGUCCUUCUGCUCCCACCA